This 32540-nucleotide long non-coding RNA is filed under the name Solanum melongena (eggplant). Its description in RNAcentral is "long non-coding RNA (SMEL_LNC000169)". The record is from RNAcentral. Lineage: Eukaryota; Viridiplantae; Streptophyta; Magnoliopsida; Solanales; Solanaceae.
GAUAUGGUUGUUGGUGGAACUGACACUACCGCCAACGUAGUUGAGUUUGCCAUGGCUGAGAUUAUGAACAAACGAGAUAUCUUGAGGAAAUUACAACAAGAACUAGAUACAGUCGUGGGAAAAGAUAACAUAGUGGAAGAGUCUCAUAUUCAACAGUUGCCAUAUUUCUAUGCAGUUAUGAAAGAAGCCUUGCGUUUACAUCCAGCUCUUCCACUCUUGGUGCCACAUUGUCCUAGUGAGACAGUCACUGUUGGAGGAUACACUAUUCCUGAAGGAUCUCGUGUAUUUAUAAAUGUAUGGGCUAUACAGCGAGAUCCUUCUAUAUGGGAAAAUCCAACUGAGUUCCGUCCAGAGAGAUUUUUGGACAAUAAGUGGGAUUAUAGUGGAAAUGAUUUCAACUAUUUCCCAUUUGGUUCUGGCAGAAGAAUCUGUGCGGGGAUAGGCAUGGCAGAGAGGAUGUUCAUGUAUUCACUGGCUUCACUCGUGCAUUCUUUCGACUGGAAAUUGCCUGAAGGAGAGACAUUAGACCUCACAGAGAAGUUUGGGAUUGUUCUGAAGAAGAAGAUGCCUCUGGUGGCUAUACCUACUCCAAGAUUAUCCAAUCCAACACUCUAUGAGUAAAAUAAAACAUGUUGCUCUAUCCAAAUGGACAAUAACAUAUAUCAGUACUGCAGUAAUUAUUAUAUGCUUAUUGAUAAAUCUGUAUAUUUUAAUUUGUGGUGUAAGGUAUCCAUAAAAGUAUGGUUUUAAUGAGCACAUAUGGUUGUAAUUAUUCUCAUUGAGGUUUGCUAUCUCCUGUUUCCUACCUUUUGCUAGUGUUUUUUAUAUAACUAUUGAAAUGUGUUUGUAGUGAUUAUACUUCUCUCUUUUGUACGAUGAAUUAUAUAUGGAGACGCGUUCCCUGUAAUUUGGAUCCUUGGAUCCAUUUCUAACUAAUUCAAUGGUUUCUAUAAAGUUGGUACACAUCAAGAAUAUGAAAGCUGCAACUCAGUCUGCCUGAAUGAUUGUAUCCCCAGUAUUUGAUUCUAUUUCUUCCCGAAAUCUUCUCAACACAAGUUAUAAUACCUAAUCAAGUUAUUCUUCUGCUGACAGUUUCCUCGUUCACAAUGGUCGUUUCUGUGUUCCAGAUGGCAUCCGGAGGUGAUCAUUUCUGAGGUGUACAGUACGCCACUCACUUCUAGCAGUCGUUCCAGAAAGGCUUGGGCACGCAUGUUAAUCUUAGCAUGAUUUUUCCACCAGCUGAUAGACGUGCAAGCAGAAGGACCAUUCAAAUGCUUGAUGAUAUGUUACGAUCUUAUCUAAUGGAUUUAUGAGGUAAAUGGGAUGAUCACCUUCUGUUGAUAAAGUUCAAUAAGAACAACAGCUAUCCGACGAGCAUCUAAAUGGUUGUGUGCGACCUUUGUACAGACAACAAUGUAGAUCGCCCAUAGGUUGGUUCAAACCGAGUAGAGUACAGCUGAUUGGCCCAAUUUUGUUCAUGAAGCCCGAGAAAAAGGUAAUAAUAUUCAAGAAAGGCUUAAGACAAUUCAGAAUUGAUAGGUGACUCUGUGGAUAUAGCCUUCGUUAAGGUGUUAUGGCAAAAUCAUGAUUCCAACUAGGCUACAUUCGAAGUGAAGAAAGAUAUGAAAGAAUCACAUGUCGGAGAUGAUAAUUGCGAAGUGACCUUAAGUUGGAAGAUUGUUUCCCAUACACUCUUUCAUUCCUCGUGUUUUAUUUUUGUUUGUACUUCUACAACUAGCUAGUAAGACUAAGUUUGGCAUAAGCAUCUAGGGCAUCCAAGUUCUAAUGUUUUGUUCCAUUUAUGGAAUUUUCGGUUGUUUGAGAAAUAAAAAUCAAUUUUAAGUAACUACCUUUGAUUGUCUUACACAUGCAAGUUUUGCAAAAAUAAAACUCAAGCCUUUUCCUAAUUUUGAUAGUUGUUUUGCAAGUGUUUUUGAUGUCAUUCAUAAUGAUGUUUGGGGCAUUUCAACAAUUAUUUUUCAUUAGUUUAACUCAAAAUUUGCAUUUCAACAAAAUUUAAUGAAAAAAUUAUUUAAAUUAAUUAGGUGACUUUCUAAAUGAAAACUCAAUAGUUGAGUGACUUGAUUUUAGAAAUUCUGUGAAAAAAAUCUAAGACUUUGAGUUAAAAACUAAAACGGUAAGUUGAAUGAGAAGAAGUAUUAGUUGAAUGGCCAUCUGGGUUAUUAACUGCCAAAUAUAUCAAUUAUUAUAGCUGCCAAAUCUCAACUUUUAUGGGUGCAAAAUCUCAACAUUCAUGGCUGCCAAAUUUAAAUAUAUAUGGCUGCCAAAUCUUUGACGAAGGAAGAAAACUUUCUUGAAUCAAAAAAGCCUUGAGCUUCCCACUACAUUGGUUCUGCCAAUUUCCAUUUCCUUCUUAGGCUCAAACAAUGUCUCUCAAAUUCUCCAAACCUCUGUUUGAUUCUUUCUCAUGUCCCUGGCAAGAAUCAAAUAUUGAGAAAAAAGGUGCAUUUUUAUCCUAUGUUCUUGGUAUUAUAGGUUUACUAUGGUUUCUUUGGCUUUUCACUAACAAGUCAAAAAAGGGACAACCCCCAUUGCCACCGGGGCCUAAAGCUUUGUCUUUACUAGGUAAUCUCCAUUCUCUUGAACCUCAACUUCUCACCUAUUUUGCUUCUCUUUCCCAAACUUAUGGCCCCAUUUGUAGACUCUGACUUGGUAAAAAACUUGGCAUUAUUAUUACUUCGCCUGCCUUAGCUCGCGAAGUUCUUAAGGAACAAGAUACCAUAUUUGCUAACAGAGAUGUGCCUGCUGCUGGAAGAGAAAUGUCAUAUGGCGGUUUGGAAUCCUUUUGGACCGAAAUGGCGUAUGUUGAGAACUGUUUGUGUUCGUGAUAUGCUUGGUGGUUCUGCUUUAGAUUCUGUUUAUGCACUAAGGAAAAAGGAGCUUAGACAGAAUCAAUUACUUCUAUAGUCAGGCCGGAUUGCCUGUGAAUGUUGGUGAAAAGAUGUUCUUGACUAUGUUUAACGUGAUUACAAGCAUGUUAUGGGGUGGCACAGUGAAGGGUGAGGAAAGAGCUAAUCUUGGGGCAGAGUUUAGGCAUGUUGUGUAUGGAAUACUGAGCUGUUAGGUACUCCAAAUGUUUCCGAUUUGCUUGGACUGGUUCGAUUUGCAGGGUGUUACAAAGAAGAUGAAAGUGUUGGCAAAGAGAUUUGAUACGAUAUUUGAGAGCAUGAUUGAUCAAAGACAGAAAAUGGAUGGAAAUACUGAGAUGGGAGCUGGUGUUGGUCAAGAAAGCAAGGACUUUUUGCAAGUUUUGCUGAAGUUGAAAGAUGAAGCAGAUUCCAAAAUGCCUCUGUCUAUGACUGAACUCAAAGCCUUACUUAUGGUAUGUUUUAUCGGUGCGCAUUUUGAUUGUUUCCAUUAGAUGUCUGAACUGUUGUUUGCUAACUUGUUAUUGGACUGUACUAAGAAAAGAGUCAUUUAGCAUCAAAUAUUAUGUAAAGCUUAAUUCAGACUUAAUUGAGAACCUUGAACUGAACACCUAUAUAUAUGUACAGUUCUACAAAUUAAAAAAUGUUGUACAUGAUAAUAACUUCACAAAUACUGUGAACAGGAUAUGGUUGUCGGUGGAACUGCUACGACCUCCAACACGGUUGAGUUUGCCAUGGCUGAAAUUAUGAACAAACGAGAUAUCCUGAGAAAAUUACAAGAAGUAGAUACAGUCGUGGGAAAAGAUAACAUAGUGGAAGAGUCUCAUAUUCAACAGUUACCAUAUUUCUAUGCAGUUAUGAAAGAAGUCUUGCGCCUACAUCCAGUACUUCCACUUUUGGUUCCUCGUUUUCCUAGUGAGGCAGGUAUUGUUGGAGGAUACACUGUUCCUAAAGGAUCUUGUGUUUUCGUAAACGUAUGGGCUAUUCACAGAGAUCCUUCUAUAUGUGAAAAUCCAACUGAGUUCCAUCCAGAAAAAUUUUUGGACAAUAAAUGUGAUUAUAGUGGAAAUGAUUUGAACUAUUUCCCAUUUGGUUCUGGCAGAAGAAUGUGUGCGGGGAUAGCCAUGGCAGAGAGGAUGUUCAUGUUUUUACUGGCAUCACUCAUUCAUUCUUUCAACUGGACAAUGUCUGAAGGGGAGAAUUUAGACCUUACAGAGAUGUUUGGGAUUGUUCUGAAGAAGAAAAUGCCUCUGGUGGCUAUCCCAACUCCAAGAUUAUCCAAUCCAACACUCUAUGAGUAAUGUUAAAAUGUGUCUGUAGAGUGUUGUAUUCCGCAUGAUGAUUCUGUCUUUUGUGCUCUAUGAAAAUUGAUUCAAAGUUUUCUAUAAAGUUUGUACACAUCAAGAAUAAAUACAUAAAGUAUGUUUUCUUAGGUCUCUUGACAAUAUUUUCUUGAGUUUACAAAAUUAAUUAAACAAAAACAUAUUAUAAAGGUCAAAUUAAAGUUGUCAUGAAUUCAUAUCUUGAUUCAUAAGAAAGCAUAGAGAGUGUGCAAGAAGGCUCAAGACCCUUUUAGACUCGAGAAGGACCACAUUCCAACAUUCAAGGAAAGAUGUUUAUAAAAUUCAAUUAAACAAAAUAGUCAAAGUGUAUUAUGGUAUAAAAGGUUACAAGGAUUAUUAUAGAGUUGCGGGAAUAAAGAAGAUCAAGUGAAAUUAGUAUUACAAAGCAAAACCUUAAGCAAAGGUGUGUGAAAUUUUUCCUAAAAGAAAGUAAAUAAAAAGGAUCUUAAAGAGCAUAUUUCUAUUGGCAAGAAGACAAUAUAUACCUAAUUAUAUAUUAUCUCUUAAUCUGUCUUGUGCACAGGAAGAUGCACCAGUUCUAGCUGGAAGGUAUCAACAUCUGAAGAUUCAUUUUCACUACCCAACAAAGGUCAUUGACUUCUUCACUUAUUUGAAUACCCAAGGUACAGAUAUAUUAAUUUAUUGCUGAUAGUUUUGAAAGAAUCAUAUAUCUGCCGAAUACUCAUUCAUUUAUCAAGUGGUGUUAGCUUCCCACAACAUUGGUUCUGCCAAUUUCCAUAUCCCUCUUAGGCUCAAAUAAUGUCUCUCAAAUUCUUCAAACGUCUCUUUGAUUUUUACUCAUGUUCUUGGCAAGAAUCAAAUAUUGAGCAAAAGGGUGUAUUUUUCUCCUAUAUUCUUGGUAUUGUAGCUUUACUAUGGUUUCUUUGGCUUUUCAUUAACAAGUCAAAAAAGGGACAACCCCAAUUGCCACCGGGACCUAAAGCUUUGCCUUUGAUAGGUAAUCUCCAUUCUCUUGAUCCUCAACUUCACACCUAUUUUGCAUCUCUUUCCCAAACUUAUGGCCCCAUUUAUACACUCUGGCUUGGUAAAAAAGUUGGGAUUAUUAUUACUUCGCCUGCCUUAGCUCGUGAGGUUCUUAAGGAUCAAGAUACCAUUUUCGCUAAUAGAGAUGUGCCUGCUGCUGGUAGAGAAGCUACAUAUGGUGGCACUGAUAUAGUUUGGACUCCUUAUGGACCGAAAUGGCGCAUGUUGAGAAAAGUUUGUGUUCGCGAAAUGCUUAGUGGUUCUACUUUAGAUUCUGUUUAUGCAUUAAGGCGACGGGAGCUUAGACAAACGAUCAAUUACUUCUAUAGUCAGGAAGGAUUGCCUGUGAAUAUAGGUGAACAGAUGUUCUUGACUGUGCUUAAUGUGAUUACAAGCAUGUUAUGGGGCGGCACAGUGAAGGGUGAGGAAAGAUCCACUCUUGGGGCAGAGUUUAGGCAUGUUGUCACUAAGAUGACUGAACUGUUAGGUACUCCAAAUCUUUCUGAUUUUUAUCCGGGCUUGGCCAGGUUUGAUUUGCAGGGUGUUACAAAGAAGAUGAAAGUAUUGGCAAAGAGAUUUGAUAAGAUAUUCGAGAGCAUGAUUGAUAAAAGACAGGAUAUUGAUAGAAAUGGUGGGAUGGAAACUGGUGUUGGCCAAGAAAAUAAGGAUUUUUUGCAAGUUUUGCUGAAACUGAAAGAUGAUGAAGCUGCCAAAAUGCCUUUGACCAUGCCUGAACUCAAAGCCUUACUCAUGGUAUGUUUUUCUCAAUUGUGCAUGCUACUACAGGAAAAAUCCAGUAUCCAGCUCUACUGGUAGUAUGAAUUUUGUUAUACAUGAUAAUAACUUCACAAAUACUGUGAACAGGAUAUGGUUGUCGGUGGAACUGACACAACCUCCAACACGGUUGAGUUUGCCAUGGCUGAAAUUGUGAACAAACCAUACGUCCUGAGGAAAUUACAAGAAGAAGUAGAUACAGUUGUGGGUAAAGAUAACAUAGUAGAAGAGUCUCAUAUUCAACACUUACCAUAUUUCUAUGCAGUUAUGAAAGAAGUCUUGCGUCUACAUCCAGCGCUUCCACUCUUGGUUCCUCAUUGUCCUAGUGAGACGAGCACUGUUGGAGGAUACACUGUUCCUAAAGGAUCUCGUGUUUUCAUAAAUGUAUGGGCUAUACAGCGAGAUCCUUCUAUAUGGGAAAAUCCAACAGAGUUCCGUCCAGAGAGAUUUUUGGACAAUAAGUGGGAUUAUAGUGGAAAUGAUCUCAACUACUUCCCAUUUGGUUCUGGCAGAAGAAUCUGUGCGGGGAUAGGCAUGGCAGAGAGGAUGUUCAUGUAUUCACUGGCUUCACUCGUGCAUUCUUUCGACUGGAAAUUGCCUGAAGGAGAGACGUUAGACCUUACAGAGAAGUUUGGAAUUGUUCUGAAGAAGAAAAUGCCUCUGGUAGCUAUACCUACUCCAAGAUUAUCCAAUCCGACACUGUAUGAGUAAGAUAUGUCUGUAGAGAGACGCUUUCUGCAUGACGAAUUUAUCUUUUGUAUGAUGAACUAUGGAUAUGUGCUUCAUGAAAAUAGGAUCUACUUGAAAUGGAUUGGAAGUUUUCUGUAUAGUUUGUAAACAUCAUGAAUAAAUAUAAGAAGGGUGUUUUCCUUGUUCUCUUGACAAUAUUUGCUUGAAAAAAAGGGUGUUUACCAAAUUUAUUAAAUCAUCAUAUCAUCGUAUCAUAUACUCCCUCCCAAUCAAAAGGAUGACCAAAUUUGAUUUGUAACGGAGUUUAAGAAUAGAAAGAAAUUUUUUAAUCUUGUGGUUCUAUAUUAAAGUUAUGUCAAAUGUACCAAAAUGUCCUUUAAUCUUGUGGUCUUAAACAUGCCACGUGGAUAGUUAAAGUUAAAGUGAUGCCAAAAAAGGAAAUGAGUCAUUUUUUUUAAAAGACUAAAGAGGAAAUACGGUCAUUCUUUUUUAAACGGAGGGAAUAUAUUAUUAUAAGUUGGAAGCUCCUAAAUUAAAAGUUGAAUUACCAUUUUACCCUUAUUUUAUUUCUAGACUAAUUUAAAUAUUAAUAUAUAAUUAAUUUAACAUUAAAAUAAUCAUAUUUAAAUACAUGCAUCUAGACACAAUGGUUCAAAUUCUAAUUAUUUAAAUACUACGUAAUAAGUAAUAAUUAUAUUAUAUUAUACUAAAUACCAAAAAUAAGAAGGUAUAAAGUCAAACUUUGAAUACAAAAAUAUUUAAUAGAAAAUUGUUAGAAAUUAUUUCAUAGAAAAUUGUUAGGAAUUACCUUCUUAUAACAAAAGUCCUCUAUUCUUUCUCUAUAAUUAGUGUGGUUAAAUGGAUUGAAUUUGUUAUCCUUUCUAUGUAAUAAGUAUAAUUAAAUGUAUUGAAUUAUUAGUAAAAACAAUCAACAUUUCCUCUCCCCCAUGUCUAAGAUCACUAACUUCUCAAAAUAAACUUAAACAACUCUUCACCUUUUCAUCUUAUUUUAUAAAUCUUUAGCUAUAUGUAUGUAUCAUGAAAAAAUAUUUUUUUUCUUUAUCACUUGCUUCUUGUUUAUAUGAAUCAUUAGGCAAUUUUCAUGUACUUUUUUUUGUUUUAAAUAUUAAUAUUUGUUUGAUCCUAAUUAGAAUGAUAUUUUGUAUCAUAAUUUUAUCUUUACCAUUUUAGAUGAGUUUUUGUUUGUUGAAUGCCUUGAAUCGGACCCGCUACAAACAGAAAGGACGGGGGUCUCGCUGACCGGUCAGCGAGUCGGGGGGUCCAGGGGGGCGACGCGCCCCCUGGCCUGGGGGUCCGGGGGGGCGGAGACGCCCCCGGGCCGACGGUAUACAAUGUUGUUGUAUUGGGCCCUUAAUUUUCUGUUGAUUCAGUAUGUUGGGCCCAAGCCUGUUAGGGCGUAGCUUAGCACUAUAUAUAGACGCUAUGGGAAACCCUAUUCUGUAAUUCUGUUUUUGCCUCUCCAUAAUAAAACUGCUCCCUCUCUUCCCGUGGACGUAGCCAAUUUAUUGGUGAACCACGUAAACUGUUGUCUUGUUUUUCGCGUUUAUAUUUUCUCGUAUUAUCUCAAAUUCCGCACAACAUUGUUGUUACAGAAGAAGGUAUCAUCAAGAACUCUACUCUUUAUGUAAUUCUUUUUACGAUAUAUAUUGUUAUAAUUAAAGUCUUAAGAAAGAUAUGAAUGUUGUAUUUGUUCUUAUCUGUUUAAUUUUUUUUAUUCUAUUUAUACUUAUUUAAUUUAAUCUACUAUGAAAUUAUGAAUAUUAUAAGUCUAUUUUUAUUAGUGCUAAAUUACUAAUUUAUGACUUUUAUAUUCAUUUUUAAAUGUACUUUUAUAAUAUGUUUUUUCUUUUAUCCUUUCCUUAUUGAUAUAGUUUCUUUAAAUAGAUACAUAGUUGUGUAAACUAUAUGAAGGAUAAUGAGAGAUUAUUAAGGAUUAGUCAUAUAGAUAUAUUCAUAUUACUAGAUGCUAUAAUAAUAUUAUUAUUUUCUCAUAUUUCUUGCUUGAUGGUCAAUGUAAUAUUCGAUUAUUAUGAAUUUUAUUUAAUGAAUAAAAUAUAAAUUGAUAAAACUAAUAUUUUAAGUUCAAUAUUUUUUAAGAAUAAUUCAACUUUAUAAUAAUUGUAUCUGCAACGCACGUUCAGGAAACUAAGUAGAAAAAAGUAUACGUAAAGGACAGAUUAGUUAAAUUAUAUACUUUUGUAUUAGUUUAAAAAAAUCUCUAAUUGAAAAAAACAAAUUGGAACCAAUAGUUGUUUCAUGGGUUCUCUCCUUUGAAGUUUGAAGCAGCAUUAGGAUUGAGAAGGUAUGUUCAUAUUGUGGUUUUGCUUACUUCCUUUUUAUAUUACUACUAUAGAGAAGAGCUACGAGAAGGACGAUCAAUAACAUUUUAAUAAUUUUAACAUCAUUUAAGACAAAAUAAUAAUUGUGUAUUUAUGGUCAAAAUGAAAAAUCUAAAAUAAUUCAUAAAUGUCUUAAUUUUUAUUUUGGGCUCAUAAGGAUAUUAUUGUAAUUUUGUUAAAAUAAAGAGUUUCUAUUAAUUAACUUCUUACAAACAAUAAUGAAUAUUAAACUUGUUUUUAUAUACUUUUGAAAGAAAAUUUUGAAUUUAUUAAAAUAAAAUGUGUUUGAAUAGUUAAUAUUUUUCUAUUAAUAUUUUUUUUCCUCUAUUAUAUAGAAGAGAGAAUGGAAGGACGACCAGGGGCAAAAAUGUAACUUAUUCCAACAAAAAUAUAUUAAGAAAGAUAAUAAACAAUUCUAGAAAUCUCUUUCUUUAUAUAAAGUGAAUAAUGAUCAAGGGUAAAAAUAUAAUUUUGCACUAACAAAAUUCUACCUAGAAUGAUAACAAGAAAAUUAAAUAGUUGUGAAACAUCUUAAGUUAUUGUUAUUACUUCACUAUCUUUUCUUUAUGAGUUAUUGUGAUAUCUAUUUUGUUAUUACUCUAUUUUGCUAUUACUUUUGUUUAAUUCUUAAUAUUUUUUUCUAUUAAUUAUGCUUAUCAAAAAUGCCUCCUUUUUACAUAAAAAUUUAUCAUGAAUUAAUUAUUUCCAUCUUUAUUUUGGCUCUAAUUAAUAUACUUGAAAAAAAAUAAGUGUGAUAAAAAUUAAUAAUAUAUUAGAUUAAAAUUAAAGAAAAAAAAUAUUAAAAAGUAAUUUUACAAAUAAAAAUGAAUAGGAUGAUAUACUUGUAUUAAAGACGACUAAGAAUUAAAAUGUAAUUUCAUUCUAACAAAAAUCUAUCAAAAUAAAUAAUUCUAGAAACAUCUUUCUAUAUAUGAAGUGAAUGAUGAUCAAAUGUUAGAAAAAUAUAACUAUGCAAACAAAAUCUGCCAAUAACAAAAAAAUUAAAAUGGUUCUAGAAACAUCUUUAGUUAUUAUUAUUAGUAGGGAAAAUUAUAUGAAAUGGCAAACAUUCAUAACUAAUUAUAUAUUAGGGGUAUAGUUUAAUUUAUUUACAUUAUAUAAUUAUAGUUUAUUUUAUUUUGCUAUAAUUAAUGGGGGCCCACAACCUAUUAUGUAACCAAUUGUAUAAAAAUCUUAUUUUCUAAUUUUGUAUAUAAUUAUACACAAUCUAAUUUUCUCUCUCCUAUUCACAAUUAAUUUUCUCUCUCCUUUCCUUAUUCUAACGUCUUCUCCUACAUUUAAUACUCCAAUAUCAGAUUUGAAUUUCGAAUUUUUGUCCAAAAUUUCAGUAAUCCCUCCUGAAGUUGAAGUCUCCUCCCUAAGUUGAAGUCAAUUUCGUAAGUUAUCCUUAAUUUUAGUUGUUUACCUUUUUUUCUAACUUAUCUAAAAAUUGUAUAUGUGUUCUGUUUUUUUUCUUCAUAUAUUUUGAUGAAAUAAUCAUUUUUUUGUUCUUGAUAGAUCUAAAAUUCGUCAAACAAUGAACGAAUCGUCUACAUCUUUGAGGAUUACUAGAGGUAGUCCUUUGCAUGUCAAUGUUUUGACAUUUUACCAUCCUUUUCAAUGGGGCUAACUCAAGAAUUUGGGGUUAAUGUAGGGUAUUUGGGAAAAUCAAAACAACUUAUACAAGAACAAACCAUGGAAGAGCUGAAAUCAAAGAAAAAAAACGACCCUAUGGCAGUUCAAUAAGUUAUUAAAAAUGCCAAAGCUAGAGGCAUUAAAAUUGUACAAGGUACAAGAAAGAGGAAAGCUGUACUAUUUGAAUCAGAGGAAAAUGAUUGUGAAGUCGGAUCUGAAGAACUUCAUAAUCAUGAGGUACUGUCUUAAAACACAAAUUUAGAUACAAUUUUUUUGUUAAUUAGUUGUCAAUAUACAAAAACCAUUAAAUUAAGUAUUGUAUAUAGUAUAUUCCAUGUGAGUAAUUGUAUAUAGUAUAUUGCAUAUUUAUGUUAUUUUUGGUUUUUGUAUAUAUAUACAAAAUAGUAAUUGGACUUAGUAUAUACAGAUGGAAAAAUUGAAUAUAUGAUUAGAAUUUGUAUAUUCUAUUAGUUAUAUACAAAUUUUUGAAGUUAGUAUAUAUUAAGUUUACAUACAUAUACAAAAAUUGAUAUGUACAUGUCUGUUUUAAUAGCUGGUAGUAGGGAUUGUAUAUAGAUGGGAAAAUAUCAUAUGUGAUUAUAAUUUUGUAUAUUGUAGUAGUUAUAUAUAAAUUAUCGAAUAUAAUGUAUUGAAUAUGCAUAUACAAUUAAUAAAAACAUUGAAUAAGUGUUAGUAUAUACUAUAUACAAUUAAAAACCUGAAUAACAUAUAUCUCUUGUUAUACAAAUUUGUAAAAUGCAUUUUUGUACAUGUAUAUAUUUAUUCAAUAAGAUUGUAUAUGUAUAUUUAUUGCAAUCUAAUUGGAUGUGCAUAUACAAUAAAAGACAUUGAAUAUGUGCUGGUAUAUACCAUAUACAAAAAAGGUAAGUUCAUAUAUAUAAAUAGAAAAUAAUCUGUGAAUGACUUUUUUUUUUGAUUUUUUUUUGUAUAUAUAGGUAGGUAUGUAUAUACAGAAAUUAAUUUGUACAUGACUUAUUAUAAACAGAAUUUUUUUUUUGAAUUUGAACGUAUGGCUUGAAAAUAGGGACGUUUCCCUAAAAUUGUGGCAUUAUCUUGAUUUAUUGUUACCAUAUUUAAUGCUUCAGUCACAAACAACUUUUUAAAAUAGAAUUGUAUAAAUAAUAAAAAAAAAAUUUAUAUACAAAAUUAAAGACACCUUUAAUAACUUAACUAUACCUAUAUUAUGUAAUUAGGUAAACUAUACCCAUAUAAUGUUAUUUAAUCUAAUAAGUUUGCCAUAUAUAAAAUUUUCCCUUAUUAGUAUUACCUCAUUUUUGGUAUUUCUCCAUUUUUUUAUGAAUUAUUGUGAUAUUUAUUCAUUAUAUGAAAGUAAAUAAAUUAUGAUUACAAUUAGCUCUUAAUAAUUCUAUAUCAAAUACAAUAUUAGAUGAAAUCAAUCAAAAAUAAAACUAAAAUUUAUAUGUAUAUUUAAAUUUUGUGUAUUAAAAAUACUUUUAAAUUUUGUGAUCUUAAUUAUGCGAUAUAAAAAAAAUCAAAAUUCAAAAGUUUUUUUCUUUUUGAGAUGAAAUAAAAAAAUAAGUUCAUAUAUAUUGAAAAGGAGGGAUCAUAAAUUAAAAAUGAAAUAUAUCUGUGUUAUUAUUAAAAUGAGCUUUCAUAUUUUUUUUUAAAAAAAUUCUUUUGGUUUCCUUCUAUUAAUUUGUGCAUAUAUGUGGAGUUUUAAAGAUUUGAAUAUUUUAAUAUAAAAAUAUAAUGAUUUGAAAACUUUAAUUCUUCGUUUUAAUUUCUAAUUUGUUGCAUAUUUAAAAUUUAAUUAAAAAAGAAGCUUAACAUAUCAAUGUAACAACUCAAGAUAUUUUUAGAAAAACAUAAUUAAAAACCUUAAUGAAAUUUGGUUGAUUCCUUUAUUUUUAUCUAAACAAAAGAAAAUUGCAUAUAUUGUUUGAAAAUGAAGUAAGAACUAAUAAGUACUAUGAAUCACAGUAAAAUGACAACUAAAAAUAUGUGAGAAUCAUAUAAGAAAUUCAUUGACUUUCCUAAAAUCACUUGUAUCAUAUAAAAUGAAACAGAUGGAAUAACAUAUAUUAUUUAAAAAUGACAUAAAAGGUACAUACAUUAACAAUUUAAAAUAUUUUGUAAAAAAACACAUAUAAAAAAUUAGUUCGUUUUUCAAUUUUCAUUCAUGUCACAUAAAUUGGAAGAAAAUAAUUAUCAUACGCUGGGCCGCGCUGGCACGAACACUUAAUAUAUAUAUAUAUAUGUGUGUGGUGUUAAAUUAUUAAUAGGGUAAAAUGAUAAAUUCAAUAUCAAUUAUUAUUUUCUUAAUUUAUUUUUUAUUUUUAUUAUUCUAAACUUUUUUUAAGAGUUUAUUUUAUAUUUGUUUAUCAUUCUCAGCUUUUACUUGAUGCGAUAUCAUGUAAUUUUUUAUUAAUGUAUGUUCUUAUGCCAUGUUUAUUUCUAAAACUUAAUAUACUUUUUAUUAUUAGAGUUAUGUAUUCAAAUAGUAUAUGUAUAAUUAUACUAUGACACUAUGUUGGUGUAGUGAGUAAGCACUUGUGGAGUUGGUGUCUUAACAUUUUUUAUUUGGAGGAUCUUAAAGUAUUGCAGAAACAUUCUGGAGUGCCAGCAACACAAGAGUUAUCUCUAUGAUGAAAUGAUGUAACAGUAUGUGGGGCAUCCUCUUUGGUUCUUUCCUUCAAAGGCUAUUCCCAUUUUCCAUUUCCUACUUACUAUCCACAAAUAAUGUCUCUCAAAUUCAUGUUUGAUUCUUUCUCAUGGCCCCUGCAAGAUCUCAAUAUUGAGCAAAAGGGGGUGCUUUUCUCCUGUCUUUUAGCUUUGCUUUGGUGUUUCAUCAGCAACUCAAACAAGGGGCUGCCACCAGGGCCUAAACCUUUGCCCUUGAUAGGUAAUCUCCAUUCUCUUGAACCUCAACUUCACACCUAUUUUGCAUCUCUUUCCAAAAUUUAUGGCCCCAUUUGUAGAAUCUGGCUUGGUAAAAAACUUGGGAUUAUUGUUACUUCCCCUGCCUUAGCUCGCGAGGUUCUUAAGGAUAAAGAUACCAUUUUUGCUAACAGAGAUGUGAGUGUUGCUGGUAGAGAAGUUACAUAUGGUGGAACUGACAUAGUUUGGACUCCUUAUGGACCUAAGUGGCGUAUGUUGAGGAAGGUUUGUGUUCAAGAAAUGCUUAGUGCUUCUACUUUAGAUUCUCUUUAUGCACUGAGGCGAAGGGAGCUUAGACAAUCGAUUAAUUACUUUUAUAAUCAGACAGGAUCGCCUGUGAAUAUUGGUGAACAGAUGUUUUUGACUGCACUUAAUGUGAUUACAAGCAUGUUAUGGGGUGGCACAGUGAAGGGUGAGGAAAGAGCUACUCUUGGGGCAGAGGUUAGGGAUGUUGUGACUAAGAUGAAUGAGCUGUUAGUUACUCCAAAUCUUUCCGAUUUUUACCCGGGGUUGGCCUGGUUUGAUUUGCAGGGUGUUAAAAAGAAGAUGAAAGUGUUGGCAAAGAGAUAUGAUAACAUAUUUGAGAGCAUGAUUGAUCAAAGACAAAAAAUGAAUAGAAAUGGGGUUGGCCAAGAAAGCAAGGACUUUUUGCAAGUUUUGCUGAAGUUGAAAGAUGAAGCAGAUCCCAAAAUGCCUCUGACCAUGACUGAACUCAAAGCCUUACUUACGGUAUGUUUUAUUAAUUGUGCAUUCAAAUUUGCUGCUUACACUAUAUUUUCAUAAAUAAAAAAUCGUUGUGCAUGAUAAUAACUUCACUAAUACUAUGGACAGGAUAUGGUUGUUGGUGGAACUGAAACUAGUGCCAACACAGUUGAGUUUGCCAUGACUGAAAUUAUGAACAAACCAGACGUCUUGAGGAAAUUACAACAAGAAGUGGAUACAGUUGUGGGAAAAGAUAACAUAGUGGAAGAGUCUCAUAUACAACACUUGCCGUAUUUGUAUGCAGUUAUGAAAGAAGUCUUGCGUCUAUAUCCAGCUGUCCCACUCUUGGUGCCUCAUUGUCCUAGUGAGACAGUCACUGUUGGAGGAUAUGCUGUUCCUAAAGGAUCUAGUGUUUUCGUAAACGUAUGGGCUAUACAUCGAGAUCCUUCUAUUUGGGAAAAUCCAACUGAGUUCCAUCCGGAAAGAUUUAUGGAGAAUAAAUGGGACUUCAGUGGAAAUGAUUUGACCUACUUCCCGUUUGGUUCUGGCAGAAGAAUCUGUGUGGGGUUAGCCAUGGCAGAGAGGAUGUUCAUGUAUUCACUGGCUUCACUUAUUCAUUCUUUUGACUGGAAAUUGCCUGAAGGAGAGACAUUAGACUUUACAGAGAAGUUUGUGCUCGUUCUGAAGAAGAAAAUGCCUCUGGUGGCUAUACCUACUCCAAGAUUAUCCAAUCCAACACUCUAUGAGUAAGAUAGAAAUAUGUCUGUAAAGAGUCGCUUCUGCAUGGUGAUUUUAUCUUUUGUGUGAUGAACUAUGGAAAUGUGAUCAAUGAAAGAUGUUGCUCUAUCCUGGCAAUGGUCUUAUGAGCAACUCAAUGUUCCAUGUGAAAUGCCUAGUUUCCAUGACUUCUUAAAUAUUGUAUUCUGAAUCGAAUUUGAAAUAAUAGUACAUGUAUGACUUUAUUGUAGAGAUUAUGCUUCUAUCUUUUGUUUGAUGAACUAUAUAUGGAGAUAUAAUACUUAAAUUUACAAGGGCAAUUAUUAUUACUAAGCAAAACCUGGAGCAAGAUGUGUGAAAUUAUUUCUAAAAGCUAUGACAUCCUGAAAAGGAUUUUAAAGAGCAUAUUUGUGCUCAAUAUAUACCUAAUUUAAUACUAUUUUCUUAUUUGUCUUGUGAACAGGACAGACAAGGUAUCAAAAAGUGAAGAUUCAUUUGUGUUAAACAACAAGGGGCCAUUGACUUCAUCACUAAAUAUAAAUGUUGAAGUGGAAAAUGGCUUCCCACCACACUGUUUCUGCCAUUUCUCUCAUUUUUCUCUUAGGCUGAUAUAAUGUCACUAAAAUUCUUCAAACCUUUGUGUGAUUCUUUCCCAUGGCCCUGGCAAGAACAAAAUAUUGAGAAAAGUGGUGUAUUUUUCUCCUAUGUUCUUGGCAGUUUAGCUUUAAUAUGGUUUCUUUGUUUUUACAUCAACAAGUCAAAAAAGGGACAACCGCCAUUAUGGGCCUAAAGCUUUGCCUUUGCUAGGUAAUCUCCACUCUCUUGAUCCCCAACUUCACACCUAUUUUGCAUCUCUUUCCCAAACUUAUGGGCCCAUUUGUAGACUCUGGCUUGGUUUGUUGUGCGGAAUUUGAGAUAAUACGAGAAAAUAUAAACGCGAAAAAUAAGACAACAGAUUUACGUGGUUCACCAAUAAAUUGGCUACGUCCACGGGAAGAGAGGGAGCAGUUUUAUUAUGGAGAGGCAAAAACAGAAUUACAGAAUAGGGUUUCCCAUAGCGUCUAUAUAUAGUGCUAAGCUACGCCCUAACAGGCUUGGGCCCAACAUACUGAAUCAACAGAAAAUUAAGGGCCCCGUCCUUUCUGUUUGUAGCGGGUCCGAUUCAAGGCAUUCAACAUGGUUACUUCACCUGCCUUAGCUUGCGAGGUGCUUAAGAAUCAAGAUACCAUUUUUGCUAACAGAGAUGUACCUGCUGCUUGUAAAGAAUCUUCAUAUGGUGGAAAGGACAUAGUUUGGAAUCCUUACGGACCGAAAUGGCGUAUGUUUAUUGGUUCAACUUUAGAUUCUGUUUAUGCACUAAGGAAAAGGGAGCUUAGCAAUCGAUCAAUUACUUUUAUAAUCAGGCGGGAUCGCCUGUGAAUAUUGGUGAACAGAUGUUCUUGACUGCGCUUAAUGUGAUAACAAGCAUGUUAUGGGGUGGGACAGUGAAGGGUGAGGAAAGCUCUAGACUUGGAGCAGCAUGUUGUAGCUGAUAUGACUGAGCUGUUAGGUACUCCAAAUAUUUCCGAUUUUUAUCCGGGCUUGGCCAGGUUCAAUUUGAAGGGUGUAACAAAGAAGAUGAAUGUAUUGGAAAAGAGAUAUGAUAAGAUAUUUGAGAGCAUGAUUGAUCAAAGACAGAAAAUGGAUUGAAAUGCUGAUCAGAUGGGAACUGGUGUUGGCCAAGAAAGCAAGGAAUUUUUGCAAGUUUUGCUGAAGUUAAAAGAUGAAUCAGAUGCCAAAAUGCCUCUGACCAUGAUUGAAAUCAAAGCCUUACUUAUGGUAUGUUUUAUUCGUAAAGUUUUGUCGUGAGCUGAGCUGUUGUUUCAUUCUUCUUCUAUGAAAAUUCACAUUCAUUUGUGUUGUGCGGAAUUUGAUAUAAUACGAGAAAAUAUAAACGCGAAAAACAAGACAACAGAUUUACGUGGUUCACCAAUAAAUUGGCUACGUCCACGGGAAGAGGGGGAGCAGUUUUAUUAUGGAGAGGCAAAAAACAGAAUUACAGAAUAGGGUUUGUCAUAGCGUCUAUAUAUAGUGCUAAGCUACGCCCUAACAGGCUUGGGCCCAAAAUACAGAAUUGACAGAUAAUUAAGGGCCCAAUUCAAGGCAUUCAACAAAUCUCCACCUUGACUUGAAUUCUCCAAACAGGUUCUUCAGACGCACUAUGAUAGUGCCAGGCCUCCCCCUCUUCCUCAGAAUUGCCCCGCAGGGCAAUUAACAGUUUCUGAUGUUGAGCAAGUCCAAACAGUGUUGAAACUUGCUCUGUGGAACCGAAUUUGUGAACAUAUCAGCAGGAUUAUCAGCAGUUCCUACUUUCUUCACCUUGAUUCUCUUCUCACUUCUCAGAAAAUGAUACCUCACGUCAAUAUGCUUGAUUCUCUCAUGAUGGAAUUGAUCCUUGGCUAGACAAAUUGCGCUCAAACUGUCACAAUACACCGUAGCCUGAUCAUGAUACAGACCAAGAUUACUAACCAGCUUUUUCAGCCAAAUCCCUUCUUUUGCAGCCUCUGUCAAGGCCAUGUACUCCGCUUCCGUAGUAGACAAAGUCACUGUAGGUUGCAAAGUUGUCUUCCAACUGACAACAGAUCCUCCAAGGGUAAACACAUAGCCAGUCAUCGAUCUUCUUGUGUCAACAUCUCCAGCAUAAUCAGAAUCAGAAUAGCCAGUAACCAAGCACUGAGUAUCACCUCCAUAAAUGAGACCAACGUCAGAUGUACCUCUAAGGUACCGGAAUAUUCUCUUCACAGCCUGUCAAUGUUCUUUCCCUGGUUGUCCCAUGAAUCUGCUCACUACACUGACUGCAUGUGCUAAAUCUGGCCUUGUACACACCAUAGCAUACAUCAAACUUCCUACGGCACUGGCAUAAGGGACUCGUGACAUAUACUCCUUCUCUUCUUCUGACUGUGGAGCGAACAUGGCAGUGAGAUUGAUAUUGGCAGCACUGGGGGUAUCAAUAGGCUUAGAUGAAGACAUGUCAAACCUCGCCAAGACCUUCUGAAUGUAGCUUCUCUGUGACAAGAAAAGUUUCCUUCUCUCUCUGUCUUUAAUGAUCUCCAUCCCUAGAAUCUUCCGAGCGGCUCCCAGAUCCUUCAUCUCAAACUCAGCACUAAGUAAACCCUUUAGCUUCUGAAUGUCAUACUUCUUCUUUGCAGCUAUCAGCAUAUCAUCUACAUAAAGCACCAGAUAGAUGAAUGAAUCAUCCUUGAGCCUAUUGUAGUAGACACAACAAUCAUAUGAGCUCCGAGUAUAGCCCAACUUCACCAUAUAGCUGUCAAACCUUUUGUACCACUGCCUUGGAGACUGCUUAAGUCCAUAUAAGGACUUUUUCAACUUGCAGACGUGAUUUUCCUUCCCUGGAACUUGGAAACCAUCCGGCUGAAUCAUGUAUAUCUCUUCCUCCAACUCUCCAUGUAGAAACGUUGUCUUCACAUCAAGUUGUUCAAGCUCCAGAUUCUGAUGUGUAACUAUCGCUAGUAACACUCGGAUGGAAGUAUGUCUAACCACUGGUGAGAAGAUCUCAUUGUAGUCCACUCCCUCUCUUUGGUUGAAACCUCUGGCAACAACCCUGGCUUUAUACUUGACUCCUUCUGCUGGUGAUAUCCCUUCCUUCUUCUUGAAAACCCAUUUGCAAGUAAUAAUCUUUCUCCCCGAAGGCUGUAUGACCAAAUCUCAUGUCUGAUUCUUGUGUAGGGACUCCAUCUCAUCUCCCAUAGCAGCAAACCAUUUUUCAGAAUCAGGACUUAAAAUGGCUUCUUUGUAAGCAGACGGCUCAGAUGUAUCUACCUCUUUAGCAACCUGCAGUGCAUAACCCACCAUGUCCUCAAAACCAUACCUCGUAGGUGGCCGAACUCCAACCCUCCUUGGCCGAUCUUGAGCUAUACUCUGAUGGAUAUCUGAUGGCAUAGAUUCUGGAAUAUCAGUUUAUGUCUGUGGCUCUUGAUCCUGCUCUUCAGGUUCUUUCAAAUCGCUCUCGUUUUGAAUGACUUGAAACUCCACCUGUUUAUCAAGAUUUCCAGUUUCUGACGUAGUUGUAGGCUUCACAAUGGUUCUAAGCAGAGAACUUUCAUCAAAGACAAUGUUCCUGCUCAUAAUAACCCUCUUUUCUGCUGGAGACCAGAUUCUGAAACCUUUCACUCCAUCUCCGUAGCCCACAAAUACUCCCUUUUUAGCUCUUGGUUCUAACUUACCUUCACUGACGUGAUAGUAAGCCGUACAACCAAAAGCUUUCAGAUUUGAAUAAUCAGCAGCUUUUCCUGACCACAUCUCCAUAGGUGUCUUGCACUGUAUGCCUGUAUGUGGUCCGCGGUUAAUCAAGUAGCAAGCUGUACUAACCGCUUCUGCCCAGAAUCUUCUAUCUAGCCCAGCAUUAGAGAGCAUGCACCUUGCUCUUUCCAGAAGUGUUUGAUUCAUCCGCUCAGCUACACCGUUCUGCUGUGGUGUAUUUCUGACUGUACGAUGUCGAGCAAUCCCUUCAUCCUUACAGAAUUGAUCAAAUUCAGACCAACAGAAUUCCAGCCCAUUAUCAGUUCGCAACCUCUUGAUCUUCUUCCCUGUUUGAUUUUCCAUCAAAAUUUUCCACUCCUUGAACUUCUGGAAGGCUUCACUUUUAUGCUUCAUCAUGUACACCCAAGUCAUCCUUGAGUAGUCAUCAAUAAUGGACACAAAAAAUCUGCAGCCUCCCAAAGACUCAACACGGCAUGGACCCCAGCAAUCAGAAUGGAUAUAAUCAAGUGUGCCUUUUGUUCUAUGAAUGGCCUUUGGAAACUUGUUGCGAUGUAGUUUUCCAAAAACACAAUGUUCACAAAACUCUAGGCUCUUAACCUUAUGACCAGCAAGUAAAUCCUCCUUUGACAGAAUUUGCAUCCCUCUUUCACCCAUAUGACCAAGUCUCAUGUGCCAUAACUUAGUCAUAUCCUUCUGGUGAAAUUCUGACGAUGCAACAUGGACUGAACCUGUAACCGUGGAACCUUGUAGAAAAUACAAAGUACCACGCAUGACACCUUUCAGAAUCAAAUUUGAACCCUUCCAGACCCGCAAGACUCCAUCUUUUCCCGACCAGCUGAAUCCCUUGCUGUCCAAAAGACUGAGAGAUAUCAGAUUUUUCGUCAUCAAUGGAACGUGCCUGACCUCGUUCAAUGUGCAGAAGCUACCGUCAUGUGUCCUUAUCUUGAUCGAGCCUGUCCCAACCACCUUGCAGACAGAACUGUUGGCCAUCGAGAUGCUGCCUCCGUCUACCUGCUCAUAAGUCGUGAACCACUCUCUCCUAGGACAGAUGUGAUAGGAUGCACCAGAAUCAAGAACCCACACAUCUGAAUGAUGAGUGUGCUCAUCCGCAACUAGGGCAAUAUCUUCUUCAGAAUUGGUGUCUUCUUCAGCAACAGCAGCAGACACUGAUUGUUUUUCCGAUUGCUUCUUCUUCUUCGGACAAUCAAAUUUCCAAUGUCCCUUCUCCUUGCAGUAAUUACAAACAUCAUCCGGCUUUGCACCCUUCGACAUCGGCUUAUUUUUCUUUCCGCCGUUUUUCCUUCCCUUUCCGCUACUGGUGAACAGACCGGAAGGCUGUAUGUCCGUACUUGUGCCGUUAGCCUUAUGCCGUAAUUCCCUGCUAUGAAGGGCCGAUCUGACUUCUUCCAGUGACACAGUAUCUUUCCCAACAAUGAACGAUUGAACAAAAUUCUCAAACGACAUUGGGAGAGAUACUAACAGAAUCAGGGCAGCAUCUUCAUCCUCGAUCUUCACAUCGAUAUUACGCAAUUCUAAUAACAAAGUAUUCAAUUGCUCUAAGUGUUCCCUGAGUUGUGUACCUUCAGCCAUUCGUAAACCGAAUAGACGUUGUUUCAGAAGCAGCUUGUUGGUUAGAGAUUUUGUCAUGUACAAACUCUCCAGCUUCAACCACAGACCAGCAGCAGUCUCUUCAUCCGAGACCUCCGUGAUGACGUCAUCCGCGAGACACAGCAUGAUCGUCGAGUGCGCCUUUUCCUCCAGAAUCGCCAUCUCAGGAGUAACGACGGCGUUCUUGUCUUUCGACAACGGCGCCCAGAAGCCUUGCUGUUUCAACAAGGCCCGCAUCUUGAUCUGCCAUAAACUGAAACUGUUCCUCCCUGUGAAUUUGUCGAUUUUCACGUUCAAAGCAGACAUCUCGAAUUCUCCAAGAACACCGAUUAACCGAGAGGCUCUGAUACCAAUUUGUUGUGCGGAAUUUGAUAUAAUACGAGAAAAUAUAAACGCGAAAAACAAGACAACAGAUUUACGUGGUUCACCAAUAAAUUGGCUACGUCCACGGGAAGAGGGGGAGCAGUUUUAUUAUGGAGAGGCAAAAAACAGAAUUACAGAAUAGGGUUUGUCAUAGCGUCUAUAUAUAGUGCUAAGCUACGCCCUAACAGGCUUGGGCCCAAAAUACAGAAUUGACAGAUAAUUAAGGGCCCAAUUCAAGGCAUUCAACAAUUUGAUAUGGUGCUGGUUUCAAAGUUUGCAUUUUACUUCAAAUAGUCUAAUUCCUUACCUAUUACAGAAAAAAAAAUUGGUUUGUAGUGAUGUUAUUCAUAAUAAGAGGAUCAAUGCAAAUAAAAGUGAAAUAUAGGAUAGUAAAUGUACUGAAGAAUUAUUACAUCAGAUGAGUAAAAAAUAUUAGAUGAAUCAGGUUUAUAUUAAUUCAUGUUCUGAACUGUUAAUUGCUACCUUUUUAUUGGAUUGCAUUAAGGAAGACAUAACUGUGAAUUAAGGCAGUGAACCAUGAACUGAAAUCCAAUAUACAGUAUUUGUUAAUAACUUCACAAAUAUUGUGGACAGGAUAUGGUGGUUGGUGGAACUGACACAACCUCCAACGCGGUUUAGUUUGCCAUGGCUAAAAUUAUGAACAAACCAUACUUCCUGAGGAAGUUACAACAAGAACUAGAGGUAGUUGUGGGAAAAGAUAAUAUUGUGAAAGAGUCUCAUAUUCAGCAAUUACCAUAUAGAUCUUUAUGCAGUUGUGAAAGAAGCCUUGCGUUUACAUCCAACUCUUCCACUCUUGGUGCCACAUUGUCCUAGUGAGACAUGUACUGUGGGAGGAUACACUGUUCCUAAUGGAUCUCGUGUUUUCAUAAAUGUAUGGGCUAUACAGAGAGAUCCUUCUAUCUGGAAAAAUCCAACAGAGUUCUGUCCAGAGAGAUUUUUCGACAAUAAAUGGGAUGAUAAUGGAAAUGAUGUCAACUACUUCCCAUUUGGCUCUGGCAGGAGAAUCUGCGCGGGGAUAGUCAUGGCAGAGAGGAUUUUCAUGUAUUCACUGGCUUCACUCAUUCAUUCUUUCGACUGGAAAUUGCCCGAAGGAGAGACAUUAGACCUUACAGAGAAGUUUGGGAUUGUUCUGAAGAAAAAAGUACCUCUGGUGGCUAUACCUACUCCCAAGAUUUUUCAAUCCGAACACUGUAUGAGUAAGAUAAAUAUGUGUCUGUAAAGAAUCGUGUUCUGUAUGAUGAUUCUGUCUUUGAAUGGUGAAUUGUGGAAAUUGGAUCCAGUUAGUACACAUUAAGAAUAUAAAACAUGUAAUUCAAGAGUACCUGAAUUAGCACAUCAGAAUGAAUUUUCUGUUUGUAAGAUAAAAGAUAUUUCCAGUUUUAUGUUUAAGUCAUAGUCAGUUAUUUACUAUUAUUUUGUGAUUGAUGAGCAACACUUCAAGGUUAACCAACAAAGUCACAUUUCUUCAAUGAUCCAUCCACCAUCAAAAUGUUCAUUGACAACUUGUUUACCUCACAAAUAAAUAAAUUAUCCCAAAAAAGAAAGAUGGUUUAAAACAAAAUUUAAUAAAAUAAUUAAAAUGAAAUGUUUUUUUUAAAAAAAAGAAAUUACUUUAAAACAAAAAAAUAUUUCAAAAUAAUUUAGUGAAAAGGUCCUUUAAUUUUUUGGGUGACUUUCUAAAUAAUAUAUUAAAAAUAGUUGAGUGACUUUGAGAUAUAAAAGAAAGUUAAAUGACUUUGUAUGAAAUUAGUAUUAGUUGAAUGAAGAUAUAAAAUAAGCAACUCUUAGCAGUCAAAGAAGGAAUGCCUUUUUUUUGUUGAAAAUUGAAGGGAAAAUUGUAUAUAAUAGCAAACUAAUAAUCUAAAUUAAAUAGAAUAGCUAGGGUUUGAUUUAAUUGUGCUCCAUAGCAAACAUUGGCAAAAAUUUGCCAGGCGUCUCUCCCAGAAGUCUCGCUCGCCACUCUCCCAUUCUCGCCUCUCUCGCUUUAUACACAGAAGUGUAUAAUUUCUGUUUCUGUUUUGUAUAAAGCGAGAGAAAAUUGUAUAUACACAUGCAAAAAUGUAUAUCUUUGUGUUAUACGCUUAAUUAUAUAAUUUACAAACAUUUUACUUCAAAUAUUGCAGAGAAAAAGGCCAAAGAAUUAUACAAUUGUGAAUUAUACAAUUGCAGUGAAAUACAAUUUUUCUAGCUUUAUACAACAGAAGUGUAUAUCUUGUGUUUCUGUUUUUGUAUAAAGCGAGAAAAACAUAUAUCUUCUUGCUAUACACUUAUAAUUAUGCAAUAUACAUACAUUUUAAUUCGAUUCAACUGUAUGCAAAGCUAAUUAUACAAUUGCAGGGAAAUAGGCCAGCGAAUUAUACAAUUUAGGCCAGCGAAUUAUACACUUGUAUAUGUAUAGCGAAUUAUACAGUUUUUAUGUUUGCUAUGGAGCGCAAUUAUGCAAAGUUUGCUAUACCAUACAACUAUGAAUUUUUUGUUUGCUAUAUGUGAAAGUUGCCCAAAAUUGAAUGAUGAACAAAAUGCCAAAUUUGGUCCGUUUCAAGUAACAUCACGAGUUUCAGGAGGUGUCUGCUUCGUUUUGGUCUAUUUAUAUUCAUUUCAUUCUUUCAGAAAAAUAAAAACAAAAAAAAAUCUUUUAGCUUGAGAUGUCUCUCGAAUUCUUCAAACCCCGUUUUGAUUCUUUCCCAUGGCCUCUUCAACAACUCAAUGUUGAGCAAAAGGGUGUGUUUUUCUCCUGUUUUCUUGGGUUUUUAGCUUUGCUUUGGUUUUUUAUCAGAAACUCAAACAAGGGAUUGCCACCAGGGCCUAAAGCUUUGCCCUUGAUAGGUAAUCUUCAUUCUCUUGAUCCUCAACUUCACACCUAUUUUGCAUCUCUGUCCCAAACUUAUGGCCCCAUUUGUAGAAUCUGGCUUGGUAAAAAACUUGGAAUUAUUAUUACUUCUCCUGCUUUAGCUCGCGAGGUUCUUAAGGAUAAAGAUACCAUUUUUGCUAACAGAGAUGUCCCUGCUGCUGGAAGCGAAUUUUCAUAUGGUGGCAAAAACAUACUUUGGACUCCUUAUGGACCGAAAUGGCGCAUGUUGAGGAAAAUUUGUGUUCGCGAUAUGCUUAGUUCUUCUACUUUAGAUUCGGUGUAUGCACUAAGGAGAAGGGAGGUUAGACAAUCGAUCAAUUACUUGUAUAGUCAGAAGGGUUUACCAGUGAAUGUUGGUGAACAGACGUUCUUGACUAUUCUUAAUGUGAUUACAAGCAUGUUAUGGGGUGGUACAGUGAAGGGUGAGGAAAGAGCUAGUAUUGGAGCGGAGUUUAGGCAUGUUGUGACUGGGAUAGCUCAGUUGGUCAGUAUUCCCAAUCUUUCCGAUUUUUACCCAGGCUUGGCUUGGUUUGAUUUCCAGGGUGUUAUAAAGAAGAUGAAGGUGUUGGCAAAGCGAUUUGAUAAGAUAUUUGAGAGCAUGAUUGAUCAAAGACAAAAAUUGGACAGAAAUGGUGUUGGCCAAGAAAUCAAAGACUUUUUGCAAGUUUUGCUAAAGUUGAAAGAUGAAGCAGGUCCCGAAAUGCCUCUGACCAUGACUGAAAUCAAAGCCUUACUUAUGGUAUGUUUAUCAAUUGUGCAUUCUACUAAAUAUUCAUAACUGCAUUAUUAUUGAGCAGCCAAGAUUGCAUUUGUCUUUCACCAUUACACUGGCUUACACUGAUCAUGAUGGCAGAUCUUUUCUUUUUUUAUAUUAAAAGGAUCAAAUGCCAUAUAAGUUCAUAUUAGGAUUGUAAAUGUAUUGAGUAAUAAAUAUUAUAUUAAUACGUUCAUGUCCUGAACAGUUAAUUGCUACCCUGUUAUGGACUGGAUUAAAGAAAGAGUCGGCUUAUUUAGGAUCAGAUUAUAUGUGAGACUUUACUGUGAAUUAAGACGCUGAGUCUUGAACUUAACUCCAAUAUACAGUUUGUUGUAACAUGAUAAUAACUUCAAAAGUACUAUGGACAGGAAAUGGUUCUUGGUGGAACUGACACUUCCGUCAACACAAUUGAGUUUGCCAUGGCUGAAAUUAUGCAUAAACCGGAUAUCCUGAGGAAAUUACAACAAGAAGUAGAUACAGUUGUGGGAAAAAAUAAUAUUGUGGAAGAGUCUCAUAUUCAGCAAUUACCAUAUCUCAAUGCAGUGAUGAAAGAAGUGUUGCGCCUACAUCCAGCUGCUCCACUACUGAUACCACAUUGUCCUAGUGAAACAUGCACUGUGGGAGGUUACACUGUUCCUAAAGGAUCUUGUAUUUUCAUAAAUGUUUGGGCUAUACACAGAGAUGCUUCUAUCUGGAAAAAUCCAACAGAGUUCCGUCCAGAGAGGUUUUUGGACAAUAAAUGGGAUUAUAGCGGAAAAGAUUUGAACUAUUUCCCAUUUGGUUCUGGAAGAAGAAUCUGUGCAGGGAUAGGCAUGGCAGAGAGGAUGUUCAUGUAUUCACUGGCUUCACUCGUUCAUUCUUUUGAUUGGAAAUUGCCCCAAGGAGUGACAUCAGACGUUACAGAGACGUUUGGUCUUAAUUUGAGGAAAAAAAUUCCUCUGGUGGCUAUACCUACUCCAAGAUUGUCCAAUCCAACACUGUAUGAGUAAGAUAAAAAUGUAUCUGUUGAGAGUCGUGUUCCGUAUGAUGAUUCUGUCUUUUGUAUGAUGAAUUAUGGAAAUUAAUUUGAACUUUCUAUGCAGUAAAAGGAACCAUUAUUAUAUUCUCUCUUAGUGAAAGUUCUCUCAAGGAAGAAUUCAGGUUUCCUCAUGGCUAGAGAUGAGGUUCAUGUUUUUUUCUUUCCUUAACCCUUAACUAAACACAUCAACUCUCGAAACUAAGCAUUUUCUUUCUAAAUAUAAUAUUUGGACUUCUCAAAAAGCUCAAUAUCCAACGAGAUACUUUAAUUUUUGUCUCUCCGAAUAAAAGAAAAAAACACUACGGGAACAGUCCCCAUAUUGGUAUAUCAUAUAGGUGAAUCUUUUUACUAGGGGCUCUGUUCCAGCUAAAUGAAAUGAUUAAUAGUCACACAGAUGUCUAAAAUUUGGUUUUAUACCACAAGUUUCAAAGUCUUUUCUUUUUUCCUGAACUUCGUGUCAUAAAUUGAGACGCAGGGAGUGAAAGUCACUUUCUUUGGAUGUGAAUUGGUUUGUCCCUUCUAACUUGUAACAGUUCUAUGUAAGCAAAUAACCUUUCUUUUCCUUUGUUCAAAGUUCAAAUCUAUUUUUUUAGUUACUACUGCAUUAUUGCUGAGAAGAGGAGAUUGCAUUUACCUGUUCUUUAUCUUCUAGACUUUUUAGAAAUGCCGCAUUGUGUGUGUCAGAUCUUGUAAAAAUAGUACGAAGACUCUCGAGCAUGAGUUUUUCUGGGCUAAAAUGGCCCUUAUGGUAUGUUAUGUCACUUUCGAUGUGAUAUUGGUUGUUCCCUUCGGUUGGGAAAUGCGGAUAAUAUAAUGUAUUGAAUUUCCUACCAUUUAAAUUAAUUAAAAAAAGUUCCUUUUUCCGUCUCUCUCUAUUAACCUUCGGAUACAUCUCUCUACCUCUCCCCAUAUGGCGCUUAAAUCCCCCCAAAAUCACGCCUAUAACUUAACAAUGAAUCAUCGAUUCGUUCCAACUUAACAUUUAUGAAUUACAAUCGUAUUAUUCUUGAACUUAUCAUUAAUUUCAAAUUUUAAAAAAAGUAAAAAAAAUUAUUCAUCAUCUAUUUUGCUUUUAAUAUAUCAGAAUUUUGCAUCAAAAUAGUUCAAUUUAGCGAUAAAUGUGGGUUCACUACCAUCAUUUAGAAUUGUCUUACUCAAUUAGUUCUUCAAUGGAACAUCUUGUUCCUAGUGAGUUUGAUUCGAAUAAUGAUAAUUUUGCUGAAAAUAGAUCCAAACACCAGAAAGAUCCUUUAAUGAUGAAGAAAUUGUGGGCGGAAAUAUUUUGAAAAUUCAGCGGUCAAAUUUCUAAUGUAUAUGGUCGAUAUUGUGUAUUUACUUUGUAUCAUAUUUAUUGAUCAAUAAACGGAACAAAAAAUAUAUUGAGUUAUUGCUAUUGGGUUAUUAGGUUGGCGGGUUUUAGAUAGUUUUUUUCAAAAAAAAAAUUAUUAGGUUAUCGAUUUGGUAUCGAUUUUUAGUAUUAGAUAAAUUGAUAACCCAUUAAGACGAUAAUAAUUUACUACUAUACCCUUCAUAAAUAUCAAAUAUUAAUAACUUAACAGAACUAGACACUAUAUCAGUACUCUACACUACGAUCUAUACACUUCACAUUACUUCCACUUCACAUAAAAAAAAUCAUAUUAUGUUUUGGUUGUAACAUGUAAUUGUAGCCUCCAACUGUAUCUACUCUUAUUGAUGUAAUUUUUCAUUAUAUUUCUUGUUUCACUAUAUCAAAGCAUUAACAUCUGAUUUGUUAGUCUCACUGUAUCGCGCUAAAUUGUUAGAGAAGUAAGAAAAUCAUAUAUUUAUUUUAUUAGCAUUUUCUUAUUAGGUAAACCGAAAACCAAACCGUUAAUGACCAAAAAUCGAUAAAUAGAAAACCAAAGAAUAUCUUAUUUGUUAGAAUAUGUGUGUCCACUACCAGUCAACGGACCAGGUCCCUUGACACAAUAAGAACAGUGCGUAAGAUUAAACAAUAUGAAGAACACAACACAAGCAGUUUACGUGGAAACCUUCUUGCUCAAGGGAGUAAAACCACGACCUAUUGCACAGGAUUUACAACCGUCUUCACUAAUCUUCUCAAGCAAAAGUGAAACCCGGUUACAAUUAAUGUGAGAAAAAGUUAUUAAUCUCACGAUCAAGUAAUCUACCUGUUACUUGAAGAGCCUAAGCGGAUACCACACCGCCCACUAAACCACCUAACUCUAGAUGACUUAGAAUUUGACUAAGCAACAAACAAAUGUUGCCCACUAAAUCAGUUAACCUUAACUGAUUUAGACUUUUACAAACCCAAAACAAAUAUCUGAAUCCUUUAUAGAUUAGGAACAGAUUUACAAUGUAAGUACAUAGACACAAAGCUCUAAAUACAACAAAGAUUCUUUUUUACUCUAUCAGGUCCUUCUGUUGAGUUGAGCAAUGUUCUUCCUUGAAGAUGGCCUUCUAUUCAAGCUUCUAAAUCUUCAGAGAAAAUCAAAGUUUAAUUUGUCAAGUCUUGAAUUUGUGUUUGUUGGAAAGAGAUAAUAUAAUUUCCCACAAAUUCGUUGAAGUCAUCCCAUUGGCUUGCUGUUGGAAAAGUUGUGCACCUACCGCAUCAGAGAUGACAGCUUUUCUGACAGCUGUCUUUUCAUCCUUUUCAUGUCACAGUCUUGCGGGUACCAGGUCCCUUGCUUUUGGGAACCAGGUCCCUUGCAAACUUCUAUAUGAGUUCUUGAAAAGGCUUGCUGGCUGACUUCCUUCUUUGGAUAAAUGAAUAUAAUAUGGUGUUUGUCAUGCUAAAAGUAUCAAAUAUAAAGAGUUAUUAUCCAUUGGACAAACACCCUCCUCCAUUCUGAUUGGUGUAGUACACUGACAUCUUACUAACCUCUGACGUGACAACUUUACAGCUGUAACCAAUUAUGUAUCUGAUGGAGGAAACUCUGCCUGGUACUAGGUCCCUGCAUUUGUGAGAUUCUGAAACAUACAAUCUUGUCCGCUCUUCUUAUUGGUGUAGGAUACUGCACUUUUCACCUACCAUGUUGUGCGGAAUUUGAGAUAAUACGAGAAAAUAUAAACGCGAAAAACAAGACAACAGAUUUACGUGGUUCACCAAUAAAUUGGCUACGUCCACGGGAAGAGAGGGAGCAGUUUUAUUAUGGAGAGGCAAAAACAGAAUUACAGAAUAGGGUUUGCCAUAGCGUCUAUAUAUAGUGCUAAGCUACGCCCUAAAAGGCUUGGGCCCAACAUACAGAAUCAACAGAAAAUUAAGGGCCCAAUACAACAACAUUGUAUACCGUCCUUUCUGUUUGUAGCGGGUCCGAUUCAAGGCAUUCAACACUGCCGUUAUUCUAAUAGACCAUAAACACCCUCAAAAGUUAACAAUCUAAUUUUUUUAUUGAUGUGAAAAGCAGCGAGACCCCCGUCCUUUCUGUUUGUAGCGGGUCCGAUUCAAGGCAUUCAACAUACCACCUAACAUAUCAACUUUUAUGACUGUACCCCAUUUGUAUCUGGACGAGAGCACUCUGCCAGGAACCAGGUCCCCGCAUUUGUGAGGAUCAUCAAAACACCUAGAAUAUAACAUUAUUGAUAUGUUAUUGGUUCAACAUAUUUAAAAACAAAACACUGAUAAAUCGAACCAAUAAUACACGAAAUCGAACUGAACUAACUAAUGCACACCCGUAUAUCAGAUACAUUAUAAUUUUAUUUGUGUACAAUGUAUACAGUACAAAUGUUAUGAUUGAUAUGUAUAACCCCAAUUAUUUCAAACCGAAAUUAGUAUAAAUCAUGUUUAUAGUUAUGUAUCUGGUACAUAACCAUGACAACUUUCAUUAUAUUUUAAUACCCGAUUCAUACACCUAUUGCUAUUUAUCUGAAAAAGGCUACCAACUUUCAUUCUGAUUCUAGUUAUUUUGUUAUGUAUAUGAAUUCUUUACAUUUUAAUGUAUCUGGAGACAGUUUUACGAUGUAUCUAUCUGAUGUCUAUUUUUUUUUCCAACUCAUCAAUUUAUAAUUCAGCUUCGAUUUCAGAUUCAUAAAAGAAAUAUUGUUUCCAACAACGAUUUUAUCGCUUUUUUAUUGUUCGUAAUUUACUUUAAACAUCAUACUCCAAAAUGUCUUAAUGUUCAUGAUGUAUCUUCUUCCAAAUUACCAAAUUUUGAAGCAGAGUUAAGGAUUUUGAAAGAUUUGCUUGAACUAGUUUGAAUUUUAAAUAUGUUACGCAUUACCAGGAAUCUAAGUUCUACAAUUGACUCAAUUAGAAUAAUAAUUAAUUUUAAUCCGUUAAUUUUGAAUAUUAAGAUCAGAGCUUUUAUCACUUUUCUUGAAAUUAUGUUUUAUUGGUGUUAAAUAUUUAGUUUUUCUUCUUAAAGAAGAUGAACGGUAUCUGAUUGGGUAUUUGAGGCCAUGACUGUCAAAAACUUCAAAUUUUGCUGGCGAUAAAUCCAAAGAAAGAACGAUUUUUCGCUGAAAAUUGAAUGAUAAACAAAAUGCCAAACAAAUUUUGCUUUUCACGUUUCUUGUAAUACCAACAAAGUUACUUUUUCCGUUUCAAUUAACAUCACGAGACUCAGGAGGUGACUCUGCUUCAUUUUGGUCUAUUUAUAUUCAUCUCAUUCUUUCAGCAAAAUCAAAAUCUUUUGGAGGUGCAAAAGCUUCAGAUGUCUCUCAAAUUCUUCAAACCCCUUUUUGAUUCUUCCCCAUGGCUCCUUCAACAACUCAAUGUUGAGGAAAAUGCUGUGUUUUUCUCCUGUUUUCUUGGUUUUUCAGCUUUACUUUGGUAUUUCAUCAGAAAUUCAAACAAGGGAUUGCCACCAGGGCCUAAACCUUUGCCCUUGAUAGGUAAUCUUCAUUCUCUUGAACCUCAACUUCAUACCUAUUUUGCAUCUCUUUCCCAAACUUAUGGUCCUAUUUGUAGACUCUGGCUUGGUAAAAAAGUUGGGAUUGUUAUUGCUUCACCUGCUUUAGCUCGCGAGGUUCUUAAGGAUAAAGAUACCAUUUUUGCUAACAGAGAUGUCCCUGCUGCUGGAAGAGAAUUUUCCUACGGUGUGAAUGACUUACUUUGGACUCCUUAUGGACCGAAAUGGCGAAUGUUGAGGAAGGUUUGUGUUCGUGAUAUGCUUAGUUGUUCUACAUUAGAUUCUGUUUAUGCACUAAGGAAAAGGGAGCUUAGACAAUCGAUCAAAUACUUGUAUAGUCAGAAGGGUUUACCGGUGAAUGUUGGUGAACAGAUGUUCUUGACUGUGCUUAAUGUGAUUACAAGCAUGUUAUGGGGUGGCACAGUGAAGGGUGAAGAAAGAGCUAGUGUUGGAGCGGAAUUUAGGCAUGUUGUGACUGAGAUAGCUCAGUUGAUCAGUAUUCCCAAUCUUUCCGAUUUUUACCCAGGCAUGGCUUGGUUUGAUUUCCAGGGUGUUGUAAAGAAGAUGAAGGUGGUUCUUAAGAGAUUCGAUAAGAUAUUUGAAAGCAUGAUUGAUCAAAGACAAAAAUUGGACAGAAACGGUUUUGGCCAAGAAAGCAAAGACUUUCUGCAAGUUUUGCUGAAGUUGAAAGAUGAAGCAGAUGCCAAAAUGCCACUGACUAUGACUGAAAUCAAAGCCUUACUUAUGGUAUGUUUAUCAUUUGUGCAUUCUAUGAAAUUUGUUUUAUCCAUAUGAACCAAAAAGAAAUCUUCCUCUCCCCAGUUAACACUGCGUUAUUAUUGAGUAGCCAAGAUGCAACCAUUCAUACCUUAUCUAUACGGAUUAUUUAUUAGCUUACAUAGUUACACUAAUCAUGAUGACAGAUCUGUUUUUUUUAAUAUUAAAAGGAUCAAAAUUCAUUGUGUCAUAUGGGAAAUAAAUUUUCAGAAGAACCAGAUUAAUAAAUUCAUGUCCUGAGCUGUUGGUUGCGUUCUUCUGCUCGGAAAAUUCACUUUCAUUACAUGUUGUGCUGGUUACAAAAGUUUGCAUUUUACUGUGAAUUAAAACUGUGAACCUAAAAUCAAAUAUACAGUUAUACAAUUAAAAAUCUGCUGUACAUGAUAAUGACUGUGGACAGGAUAUGGUUACCGGUGGAGCUAGCUCAACGUCCAACGCGAUAGAGUUUGCCAUGGCUGAAAUUAUGAACAGACCAGACGUCUUGAGGAAAUUACAAGAAGAAGUAGAAGCAGUUGUGGGAAAAGAUAAUAUUGUGGAAGAGUCUCAUCUUAAGCAAUUACCAUAUCUCUAUGCAGUGAUGAAAGAAGCCUUGCGCAUACAUCCAACUGCUCCACUAUUGGUGCCUCAUUGUCCAAGUGAAACAUGCACUGUGGGAGGAUACACUAUUCCUAAAGGAUCUUGUGUUUUCAUAAAUGUAUGGGCUAUACACAGAGAUCCUUCUAUCUGGAAAAAUCCAACUGAGUUCCGUCCAGAGAGAUUUUUGGACAAUAAAUGGGAUUUUAGUGGAAAUGAUUUCAACUAUUUCCCGUUUGGUUCUGGCAGAAGAAUCUGUGUGGGGCUAGACAUGGCAGAGAGGAUGUUCAUGUAUUCACUGGCUUCACUCAUUCAUUCUUUCGACUGGAAAUUGCCUGAAGGAGAGACAUUAGAAGUUACAGAGAAGUUUGGUAUUAUUAUGAAGAAGAAAAUGCCUCUGGUGGCUAUACCGACUCCAAGAUUGUCCAAUCCAUCACUCUAUGAGUAAGAUAAAAAUGUGUCUGUAGAGAGUCG